AUUGAACGCUGGCGGCAUGCCUUACACAUGCAAGUCGAACGGCAGCACGGGGCAACCUGGUGGCGAGUGGCGAACGGGUGAGUAAUGCAUCGGAACGUGCCAUUGAGUGGGGGAGUAACGUAGCGAAAGUUGCGCUAAUACCGCAUAUUCUGUGAGCAGGAAAGCAGGGGACCGGCAAGGCCUUUGCGCUCUUUGAGCGGCCGAUGUCAGAUUAGCUAGUUGGUGAGGUAACGGCUUACCAAGGCGACGAUCUGUAGCGGGUCUGAGAGGAUGAUCCGCCACACUGGAACUGAGACACGGUCCAGACUCCUACGGGAGGCAGCAGUGGGGGAAUUUUGGACAAUGGGCGCAAGCCUGAUCCAGCCAUGCCGCGUGAGUGAAGAAGGCC
Molecule: ribosomal RNA, 388 nt
Filed under: uncultured bacterium
Lineage: Bacteria
Description: bacterial SSU rRNA
Rfam family: Bacterial small subunit ribosomal RNA
Source: RNAcentral